Archocentrus centrarchus (flier cichlid) is the source of this 331-nucleotide long non-coding RNA. RefSeq lists it as uncharacterized. The transcript has 3 exons. NCBI's taxonomy places the organism in Eukaryota, Metazoa, Chordata, Actinopteri, Cichliformes, Cichlidae. The record is from RefSeq and is a predicted model, not a curated record.
UCCUGAUUUGAUUUGAGUGAGUCCUGAUUCUUGCUUCCACCUGCCUGCUCAUUGCACUGUAUAACAGAUCCUGGGUGUGACAGCUGUUUCCUAACUCAUUGAUGUGGUGUAGACGGCACUGCUGAGCUUGCCCGUGACUGACGCAUUUGGGUGAUGGCUGCACCAGUAAAACUGCGGAUUAUCCUUGGUUCCAACAAUGCUGAAAAACUGACCAUAGAAUCAGGCUUGCCAGCAUCUGUUGAGGAUCUUACAAAUGAGAUCAAACGUCAGUUUGAUAUAGAGGGGGACAUUAGACUCCAGUACAUGGACAGUGACUUUGACAACGAGUUUG